This 312-nucleotide long non-coding RNA is filed under the name Elaeis guineensis (African oil palm). Its description in RNAcentral is "long non-coding RNA (EGUI_LNC048753)". Lineage: Eukaryota; Viridiplantae; Streptophyta; Magnoliopsida; Arecales; Arecaceae. The record is from RNAcentral.
ACUCUGGUGCUUAAUGAAAAUUCACACCAACAACUACCUUAUUGUAAAGAAAUACUAUACUAUGAUAAUAUAAUACUACAGUAUUUUUAAGGAUAUAAGAGCAUAAAGAUAUAAGGAUUAUUUCAGUCAAAAUAGGUAGUUGCUUUUAACUUAUGUUUCAAAUAGAUAGUUAUUUUUACUUGAAACUCAAAUAGAUAGCUACUUUUAAAUUGAAAGUAUAGCUAAAAAUUUAUUUCUAGUUCUCUAUUGCAAAAGUAUGCUUCUAACAAGAAUUAUUGUCCUUUGAUAUUUGAUGAGCAUAAAAUUUUGCUC